AGAGUUUGAUCCUGGCUCAGAGCGAACGCUGGCGGCAGGCUUAACACAUGCAAGUCGAGCGGGCGUAGCAAUACGUCAGCGGCAGACGGGUGAGUAACGCGUGGGAACGUACCUUUUGGUUCGGGACAACACAGGGAAACUUGUGCUAAUACCGGAUAAGCCCUUACGGGGAAAGAUUUAUCGCCGAAAGAUCGGCCCGCGUCUGAUUAGCUAGUUGGUGAGGUAAUGGCUCACCAAGGCGACGAUCAGUAGCUGGUCUGAGAGGAUGAUCAGCCACAUUGGGACUGAGACACGGCCCAAACUCCUACGGGAGGCAGCAGUGGGGAAUAUUGGACAAUGGGCGCAAGCCUGAUCCAGCCAUGCCGCGUGAGUGAUGAAGGCCCUAGGGUUGUAAAGCUCUUUUGUGCG
RNAcentral lists this ribosomal RNA (408 nucleotides) under uncultured bacterium. RNAcentral describes it as "bacterial SSU rRNA". It matches the Rfam family "Bacterial small subunit ribosomal RNA", at positions 8 to 442 of the family's 1533-position model. The record is from RNAcentral.